UGUCAACAAACCGGAAUCUAAUUUCUCAAUUCUCGCUUCACCGUGUCUUAAGAACCCGCCACCAUUCUGGAGCCUUUAUCGCCCAGAAUAUGAAGAAACGGAAACAGAGAAUGGUGUAGAUUUAGGGUACUACACCGUAGGGAACUCUGCAGAAGAAGAAUCAGAGACAAUGACAAAGGAUUGCGCUCUAGAAACUUCCUCAGGUUAGGCUCAAAAAGGUCGGGAAAGCUGGUCCAGCCUUUGGACUCGAUUUGGUUGAAGGACUCGGUUUCGGUGCUGGUCUUAUCGAAGGUUUUGACUAUGGUGUUGGAAGAGGAGCUGCUUAUGAUUAGUCUCGUUCUUAUUAUAACGUUGGGAAGCCAUCUUUGAAUGAAGUUGAUUCUCUUAUUGAUGAACUUGUUGUUAGUACCAAGAAGCUUGUGAAAUCCACUACGAAAGAAAUCGACAAGUGGAUAAAAUGAUGAACAUUAGGAAAAUUAUAGCUUGUUGCAUUGCAGCUGUCAAGUAAAUAUCGGUUGAUGUAUGGAGAAUAUAUGCGCUGGCUUUGUUACUAAAUUUUCCGUUGAUUUGAACGAACACGUCAUCAUUGUGUGGGUUUAAGAGAUAGAUUUGGUUACUGGCCAGAACAUUUUCUUGUUAGAUACACAUGGUACACUUUUAAAACUUACCUCUUUCAGCUUUUUUUCUCUCCUGUGCUAAUAGCUUUGUGCAUACGGUCGACUGGUUGAGUCACAAAGCUUAAGGAACAUCAUGUUACUGAUAUGUGGCUGAGAUGCUUUAUUGUGAUGCAGGAAAUAUAUUCACCUGAUUGAAAUAGCUGAUGUGUUAUGCUUAUGAGAUCAAAAUGUUUGGAUCGGUUGAAAUAUGGGUUCUUAUGGUAUGAGUAAGAGAGAUAGCCAUGGAAGGCAGAAGAAUCGGAGAAACAAAUCCGAUUAUAGGCCAGAGUCUGAGUUUACCCUUCUGACUCAUAUGGUUCUGAUGAUUGGUUGCUUCCCAUGAGUCCCUGGAGGUGGAAAGGCACAGAAGGAUCCGAUGCCAUACCUCGAGUAAUGAUUCACUUAUUGUGAUGGUGGACAGAAUGGAAGAGUAAAAAGAGAUCUUCAUCUAAAGGAUUUUUCCAAGCAAAUAAACUGCAUUAGCAGUCUCAGUUAGUAUAUGGGGGUAAGUGAAUCACUAUUAAGAAUGUGGUAGAUGGUUAUUGUUUUCGACUUUUUAUUGUUAUAAUUUUUAUAAUAGGAUGUAAGAGUAUCAUGGAGUAGGAAUAUUUGACUUUACUGGAAAAAAUUUUAAUAGAUUUUUGAAUUGAACUUUUGACUCCGGCUAUUG
Camelina sativa (false flax) is the source of this 1326-nucleotide non-coding RNA. The record is from RefSeq and is a predicted model, not a curated record. Lineage: Eukaryota; Viridiplantae; Streptophyta; Magnoliopsida; Brassicales; Brassicaceae.